RNAcentral lists this long non-coding RNA (222 nucleotides) under Elaeis guineensis (African oil palm). RNAcentral's name for it is "long non-coding RNA (EGUI_LNC005772)". The record is from RNAcentral. Lineage: Eukaryota; Viridiplantae; Streptophyta; Magnoliopsida; Arecales; Arecaceae.
CAAGUAAUUUCUAUUACAAAAUCAAGGAUGUCGGACAUCAGAUUAAUUAAUUUAAAAAUAUCAAAGAAAGAUUAGUAUUGAUAUCAUUUGCUUAAAUUAUCAAAUAUUUACCAAGUCAUCCUAUCACAUCAACUAUAUCAGAUAGAUACUUAUUUCAAUAUAUAAAUAGAUCCUUCAUUUUAAUGGCAAUGCUGUAUCCAUUGAAAUCGGAAGUCCAUGUGG